AAAUUGAAGAGUUUGAUCAUGGCUCAGAUUGAACGCUGGCGGCAGGCCUAACACAUGCAAGUCGAACGGUAACAGGAAGCAGCUUGCUGCUUUGCUGACGAGUGGCGGACGGGUGAGUAAUGUCUGGGAAACUGCCUGAUGGAGGGGGAUAACUACUGGAAACGGUGGCUAAUACCGCAUAACGUCGCAAGACCAAAGAGGGGGACCUUCGGGCCUCUUGCCAUCAGAUGUGCCCAGAUGGGAUUAGCUAGUUGGUGAGGUAACGGCUCACCAAGGCGACGAUCCCUAGCUGGUCUGAGAGGAUGACCAGCCACACUGGAACUGAGACACGGUCCAGACUCCUACGGGAGGCAGCAGUGGGGAAUAUUGCACAAUGGGCGCAAGCCUGAUGCAGCCAUGCCGCGUGUAUGAAGAAGGCCUUAGGGUUGUAAAGUACUUUCAGCGGGGAGGAAGGUGUUGCGGUUAAUAAC
This 470-nucleotide ribosomal RNA is filed under the name Salmonella enterica. RNAcentral describes it as "bacterial SSU rRNA". It matches the Rfam family "Bacterial small subunit ribosomal RNA", at positions 1 to 467 of the family's 1533-position model. Lineage: Bacteria; Pseudomonadati; Pseudomonadota; Gammaproteobacteria; Enterobacterales; Enterobacteriaceae. The record is from RNAcentral.